Molecule: ribosomal RNA, 426 nt
Filed under: uncultured bacterium
Lineage: Bacteria
Description: bacterial SSU rRNA
Rfam family: Bacterial small subunit ribosomal RNA
Source: RNAcentral
UGGGGAAUUGUUCGCAAUGGGCGCAAGCCUGACGACGCAACGCCGCGUGGAGGAUGAAGAAUUUCGGUUCGUAAACUCCUGUCGAGCGGGACGAAAGAUGCGCGGGUUAAUACCCCGUGCAAGUGACGGUACCGCUAAAGGAAGCCCCGGUUAACUCCGUGCCAGCAGCCGCGGUAAUACAGAGGUCUCAAGCGUUGUUCGGAAUUACUGGGCGUAAAGGGUGCGUAGGCCGCACGGGCAGUCAAAUGUGAAAUUCUGGGGCUCAACCUCAGAAUUGCGCUUGAUACUUCCGUGCUCGAACCUUGGAGAGGAGUCUGGAAUUCUCGGUGUAGCAGUGAAAUGCGUGGAUAUCGAGAAGAACACUAAGGGCGAAGGCAAGACUCUAGACAAGUGUUGACGCUGAUGCACGAAGGCUAGGGUAGCGAA